This 460-nucleotide ribosomal RNA is filed under the name uncultured bacterium. Its description in RNAcentral is "bacterial SSU rRNA". It matches the Rfam family "Bacterial small subunit ribosomal RNA", at positions 28 to 507 of the family's 1533-position model. The record is from RNAcentral.
GAUGAACGUUGGCGGCGUGCCUAAUACAUGCAAGUCGAACGAAGACUGUAGUAAUACUGUCUUAGUGGCGAACGGGUGAGUAACGCGUGGGUGACCUGCCCCGAAGUGUGGGAUAACAGUUCGAAAGAACUGCUAAUACCGCAUAAUAUCCAAGAGAUUAGACGCUUUUGGAUUAAAGGAGUAAUUCGCUUCGGGAGGGGCCCGCGUCCCGUCAGCUAGUUGGUAAGGUAAUGGCUUACCAAGGCGAUGACGGGUAGGGGACCUGAGAGGGUGGCCCCCCACAAUGGAACUGAAACACGGUCCAUACACCUACGGGUGGCAGCAGUAGGGAAUAUUAGUAAUGGGCGAAAGCCUGAACUAGCAACGCCGCGUGUGCGAAGAAGGCCUUCGGGUUGUAAAGCACUUUUUGAGAGGAUGAGGAAGGACGGUACUCUCAGAAUAAGUCUCGGCUAACUACGUG